AGUGAACGCUGGCGGUAGGCCUAACACAUGCAAGUCGAACGGCAGCACAGUAAGAGCUUGCUCUUACGGGUGGCGAGUGGCGGACGGGUGAGGAAUACAUCGGAAUCUACUUUUUCGUGGGGGGUAACGUAGGGAAACUUACGCUAAUACCGCAUACGACCUACGGGUGGAAGCAGGGGAUCUUCGGACCUUGCGCGAUUGAAUGAGCCGAUGUCGGAUUAGCUAGUUGGCGGGGUAAAGGCCCACCAAGGCGACGAUCCGUAGCUGGUCUGAGAGGAUGAUCAGCCACACUGGAACUGGGACACGGUCCAGACUCCUACGGGAGGCAGCAGUGGGGAAUAUUGGACAAUGGGCGCAAGCCUGAUCCAGCCAUACCGCGUGGGUGAAGAAGGCCUUCGGGUUGUAAAGCCCUUUUGUUGGGAAAGAAAAGCAGCAGGUUAAUACCCCGCUGUUCUGACGGUACCCAAAGAAUAAGCACCGGCUAACUUCGUG
RNAcentral lists this ribosomal RNA (492 nucleotides) under uncultured bacterium. Its description in RNAcentral is "partial 16S ribosomal RNA". It matches the Rfam family "Bacterial small subunit ribosomal RNA", at positions 29 to 507 of the family's 1533-position model. The record is from RNAcentral.